GACGAUGGGCUAUGCUCG
This 18-nucleotide non-coding RNA is filed under the name Arabidopsis thaliana (thale cress). The record is from RNAcentral. Lineage: Eukaryota; Viridiplantae; Streptophyta; Magnoliopsida; Brassicales; Brassicaceae.